Lagopus leucura (white-tailed ptarmigan) is the source of this 447-nucleotide long non-coding RNA. RefSeq lists it as uncharacterized. The record is from RefSeq and is a predicted model, not a curated record. Lineage: Eukaryota; Metazoa; Chordata; Aves; Galliformes; Phasianidae. The transcript is spliced from 3 exons.
CCCGCCGCUGCCGCCUGCCCCGUGCCUUUGGGACGCCGGGCUCUCAGGGGAAGGCGGCGCGGGGGCCUGUCCGUCCCCCCUCUGCACCGAGCCGUCCUCCACAGUCGCUGUUCGGACGGGAGCCGGUUGGGAACGCGGUCGUCUCUUUGUUUGUCGCUCUUUGCGUUCGUCGAUUAAAUGUUUACCGUUCGUUUCUCGGCGCUUCUGCCCGCGGUCGUUUCUGCAGCUCCGGUAGGAUGCCGCUGCAUUUACAGUGCAAUCAAAUGAGAAUGUGACAGAGACUCUGUAAAUGGUGGAUUUUGCUUCUUUUCUAAAUGUUUCAUAAUCAGCCUGAAGUGCAUUGCCAAACACUUCAUUCCAAGAGCUCAUCUUAAUUGCUGCAUGGGAUCUUACUACGUGUCCUUGUGAUCCAUCGGUGCCACAGAACAAAUAAAUUUCUGUUAGGUG